ACGUUUAUUCAGAAAUGGCAACCGUCGGCAUGGGACGGAGGUUGCAACGGCUCAAAUGGACUACAGUUUGUGAAAGUUGGAAAAGUUCCUCGAAAAAGUUUGGUUUUCAGUGUUCACUUUCCAUGCCUCUAGCAAUUAAAGUGAUUUAGAAACAACAUGAAAAACUCAAAAUUUUUUGUUUCGUUAAACAGAUUAACGUCACGUGAUGUUGGCCAAUGGCGACUUGCAAGUUUUGUCUGCGCAUCAAGGCGACGAGAAUCAUUUGUAUCAUUGUCGAGUUCUCGUCCAGCCCAUCAGGCAAACAAUGACCAGUUUCACUGCUGGACGAAUCAUCCUCAGUCAAGAAACCAGGACAAAGAUGGCACAAGUCAUUGUAGAAACUGUGAAUCGAAUUCGAAGUUUGGCGUGGACGAGAUUCCGUUUUACCUUGUGUUUUUCAUGGAUAUCUUCCGCAUAAAAUCAAAUGGUACAAAAGUCUAACGAUUCAGUAUGGCAAUUUGUUGUUGCCACUGGUGACAUCAGCUGCCACGCAAGAGCAUCGUGAUGGAGUGCUGGGACUUGGGCGUCAUCGCCUCAUUGGUGGCACUUUACUCAUCGCUUCCGUCGUCACCGAAGAUCAGGGCCGUUACAUUUGAUUCGUCAACAGUUCCAUUGGAUUAGUCGAAUCACGUACCGAACUCAUUUUUCGUGUCAAAUUACAAGUCAGAAUCGUUGAACGUCGUCGUCGCCGCAUAGAAUGCACAGCACAUUUAAGUCACCGAUCCAGAAACGUCCGUCACCAUCACGUGUCAUUUCUCCGGCCGGUUGUCAGUUGGCUCAAAGAUGGCCAGCGCUUCUUGGUGGGUAAUAGUGGUCGUGUUUCUUCUUCAUCCGGCGACGACGGCUACACCGAUAUGGUCCAGUUAUCCAUUUCGUCCGUCCAACGUGAAGAUGAGGGAAUAUACCAAUGCCUGGCAUCCAAUGACGAAGGAGAUUGGGCCCAAGCAUCGGCCCAGCUGGCCAUUGGAGCAUUUCCUCCUCAUUUGAAAGAAACGUUCAGUCGGCAAGUUGUACAUCCGGGAAGUUCAGUCUCGUUGAAAUGUUUAGCCUCUGGCACUCCGCUGCCUCAUUUCACUUGGACGCUGGACGGGUUUCCGUUAUCGCCCGUUUCCGAACGAUAUUUCCUCGGCCAGCAGCAACAAACGGGUCACGACGAUCUUGUAGUGGCUCAUCUCAACAUAACCCACGUCCGAGUCGAAGACGGAGGCAAUUACAAAUGUGUAGCGGAGAAUCGAGUGGGUCGCGUAGAGCAUUCAGCCAAUUUGCAUAUUUACUUCAAUUCAAUGGCAGUUUGACGAUCGAUCCGUUGGAUAAGAGCAGCGACGCCGGUCUUUAUAGUUGCGAGGUGCAUGGCCAGAACGGACUCUCGGCUCGCCAGUCACUUCAACUCAACAUCCUCGCUUUGCGAAAAUAUUGACUCGGCGCCUUUUUCUUUUCCCCCUCCGCCCUGUAAACUUGCUCGGUCGCUGAGUAUACUCUUUGAUGAUGAGAAAGUCAACAGCGCUUUUCUAUCCGGUCUGGAAGCAGAAAAAAAUUUAAAAAAAGGAAGCAAUGAAAGCAAAUGAGACAGACCGACUAUAUCGAUCCAGCAGCCAGAAGCCAAUUUAAGUCUUUCCCCUUUUAUUUUUAUGAAAAACAAGAAAAAGGAGAUGAGUUAAGUGGGUAGGAAGGAUAAAUUUAGAAAUUUCUCGACGUUUUUUUUUGUUGUUGCUUCCGGUCGCCGGAAUUUUGUUUAAAAAAAAAAAAACAAAAAACACGAAAAAAAAACGAUAUUGGAUACAGAUGCGCCUCAUAUAAUGGCAAUGAGCGAUUCGGCCAUGUUGAAUGCCGGCGAGCGAUUGGCUCUUCAAUGCGCCGUAGUUAAAGGUGGAUUGCCGUUGUUCGUCAGCUGGUCGAAAGAUGGCCAAGUGAUUGCACCGACAACUGCAACGACGACGACUAGCGUCCGUUUGGUGAACGAAUUCACAGCCACGUUGACGAUUGAAUCGUUGACUGGACAACAUGGUGGAUGUGGUGGAAAUAUUUAUCAGGCUUUAGAGCAGCAUUAGCCUUUGCUAUAUCUCCACAUCAUGUAAAUGGAAAAUCUCUGGAACUUCUUGUUGAGAAAUGAAGCCAUUGUGCAUAUUGCAUCAACCAAGGGCGAAAUGUUACCACAUAUAGGCCAAUGUUACAACUCACUUAUGGUGAUUGUCCAUUCACAUGAAGUCUGUAUGUUGGUACAGUUUAUCAACAGGCAUAAGAGGAUGUUCAGGCAAUAAUUGUGGGAUAGUUUAGGUAGAUUCUUUGCUGCGUCAUAGCUCGGGAGUCGUAACGGGCAAUAUCCUUGUGCAUUAAGUUGGUGAACUCUUGUGUUCCAUUGGGAAAAUAUUUCAAAUUGAUUUAUUUGCAUGUUACGGAGUUUGGUUUUUUUUCUGAUCUGUGGAGCCUGACAUUUUCCACAAUUUCUAUCGGCGGACAAAAUGUCUUUUAGGAUUGGUAGCAGCUUACAAAGCAGUAGGUUCCAACAUCAUCUAACGUCUGCUUUAGUAAUGGCAGGGAUGUGAAUGAUAAUUUGUGAAAUCAAACAACUUAAGCAGGUGCCUAGCUCAACAACUCCUAUGAAAUCUAGAUUGGUGGUGGUAGUUCUAGGGCGCCUGUUCAGGCAACAGUUUCGUUUUUUAAUCCGCCAAGGAUUUAUGCGUUAUUGCGUCUACUGUGUAGCCUGAGUAGCAUACGCAAGGGGGCGUUUAUCUACAUUCCUGAUCACCAAGCAGUUACAAAUAUGUUCUACACUGAUAAGCAUCCGAGGCAAAGGGCGAGCUGAACUAGUCUAUUGCCCCUCAACUCCAGAGGGCACUAGUUUACAGCAACUCGGGCUCACCCUUUGGAGAGUGGAUUCUCAUUUCUUCUUCAUACCAGCGAGCAGAUUUGAGGUUUAAAAUUGUUUUAGGUUGUUAAGCAAGUCUGACUUUCUACGAUGUACAUGGCCGCCAAACUUUGUCGUUAUGUCUCACUGUUAAUCAGUAAGAAAAACGUCGAAUUAUUGACGAUACGUUUGUCAAAAUGGCAAAUACAACGCCUAACGAUUUAAAUCUAACUUGGGAUAAUCUACUUCUCGGACAAGGUACUUUGAGACCGGAUCUAAUUGAGUCCGCUUUCCAUAUGGCUUCUUCGCGCACGGUUGCCAUGAAGACUCGUCAUAACGAUUCCGAAAUGGUUCGUCAAUUUUGCAUUCACGGCCGUGUAGUAGAACCUAUUAAAGACUUCCUUAAAGAUGAAGUAAGAGCCUUAGGUCGUGAGCUGGGUUUGCCCGCACAAUUACUGGAACGUUACCCGUUUCCUGGUCCCGGCUUGUCAAUUUGAAUCAUUUACGCCGAAGAGCCCUUCUUGGAAGCUAAUUUCGAUGAGACGCAAGUGAUGAUUCGUUCGAUGGUCCAUUAUGCCAACAUAGCAGCCAAGGAACAUGCCUUGCUCAAUCGGAUUGAAAUCGUGACGUCGGAAGAAGAACGUCUUAUUCUGGGAGAACUGUCUAGUCGCAACCAGUAUGUUGCCACGCUACUGCCUAUUCGCACUGUCGGUGUUCAGGUACAGGAGGUUGCAGAAAAAUGUGUCGGGUAUGGCAAACAAAGCAUAGGGAAAACCGCCACAUUUUUCUGCAAUAUACUGUACAACAGAUUCGCAAUUUAGACGUUGUCGUAAUAAUGCCGCGAUCGUAAUCAGCUCUUAUUCAAGGUAGAUGAUAGGUGCCACCGUAUCUACGCCAAGGUUUUUUUUUCUCUUGUCUAGAUCUUUUAAUGGCCAGUGGGUCCUUGUGAUCAUGGCCAAUGGCUUGAGCCGGAUACCAACGACUAUGGCACCUGUCGCCCUUCGCCUUGCCCAGUAAGCAAAUGCAACGGUCGCCAGAUCUACUGGAAGUCAACACUAAAUUCUGAAGGUGGCUGUUAUAAAUCGUUCACACGUGGGCCUUGCAGGCGAAGUAGCUAUUUCCUCGUUGAAGAAUAUGGCACUCGAAGAGGUCGAUGUGUUUCUCAAUUUGGAUCAUCCUAUGAAUCCUAUGUCCUUCCGUCACGCUAUCCCAGGAUGAGAAACCCUUACGACAUCAUGUACUCCAACAACGCGAUGAGCCCAUGAUCGAAAUUUGGCAUGUAUCCGCCGUUUGGCAUGCAGGAAGAAUAGCGGAGACGACUAUCCUGACAUUCCCAGUUUCGAUUACUGAACUAGAAACAGUUUUACAGAACCAUUCACAUGGUUUUGUCUCUAUUAUUUCAUUUUAAAAAUGUGAUUGCAAAUUUUCUAUUGUGACGUAUGGCGGAUAAAAAACAACCUUGAUUAGUUUUAAUGCAUGAAUUCGUUAGCCAAUAAUAUGUGUAUGAAGAAAAUGUUUUCACUUUGAAACAGAGUCAUGGAACCCAUCGGUUUCCAUGACUCUGCUUUGAAAGUUUGAACAGGGAUUUCUGUUUUACCUUUCUGCGAUGCGGCAACACAGCAUUGCGAUCGUUUGACAACUCGCUGGUAUUGCAAUAGGUUAAUAGUUUUGUGUCAAGUAAAUUUCAAGUGCGAGUAACUGCUGGAAGAUUGCAAGCAAAAUCUGCAUGUGUCGUGUCAUUGUUCUAAGUGUUGGAGACUUUUUUCGUUUUGAUUAGGCAUUCAUGUUUGGGAACAAUACCUGAAGUUGGAUAUCGCCUAGUGAUAUUUACAUAUUAAGUCCUAUUUUAAGAGACUUGGGGCGAUACGUUUCGCAACAAAGAUCUAUACAGUACUCAAAAGAUGACCCACAAGCACUAUGCCACCACGAUUGAGACAAUGUAAAACACUAAACUAUAAAGCGCCAUUUAUCAAUAAUGAAUGAAUUUCCUCAUUCUAACAAUAAUUUAAGAAAAUGUAAAUGUAUACUUAGCUGUGGUAAUUAUUUCGUUUACAUCGACUACACUUCAAUAAUUUACAAGUGGGAAAGUGUUGCCUAUAAGCAACAAGAAGGUAUUGUGCAUGUUUAUGAGCGAAUCAUGGCUUAAUGGGUGAGUGUCGGAUUGUACCGCUGGAUGUUUGUGGAUCAAAUACCAUCAAAGGUAAAAAGUACAAAAUAUGUUUACUGAUUCACUUUAUUGACGUUAUCACCUUCAGUUUAGAAGCGUUUUAGUAAUUUACUUUGGGAUACUUUAAACUAUUAUUACAAGUGUGAACAAGUAACCUUUAUAAACUUACUCUUAAAUAAAAAACAAUUUUACUUACAGUUUUCUUCACCAUGACAUACUUGGAAUUUAUAUGCCAAUACGUGUAAUCCAUCAAGGACACUGAAUUUCACAACACCUGAAUGGGAUUCGAACCCAAUGUAUAGAGAAUUCCAGUCCACCGCUCUACCAUUGAGCUAUGAGACAUAUUACUGAGAAAUCUAAGUCUUCAACACAUUAAGGGGGGGUUGCCAGGAAGGUAUCGCAUCCGCCUAGCAGCUCCAAGGUCCGUGGUUCGAUUCCACGGAGGUUCCCGAUGUCCUGGGCUUCCAAUCUUCCACGUCUGCCAGUCGGGUCGAGAAACUUCCCCAUUACGAAGUAAUGGGACGGAUAUUUUGGCAAUGUUUAAUAUAAUAUCCAAUAAAAAAUCUUAAUAAAUUGUUCAUUAUGAUUUAUCCAUGCGAAUGCGUAUUUUGUUACUUGAAUACUUUACAACGUACUUUAGCAAUUGGCAUCCUCUGUCGAGAUAUCUCACACAUACUGCUUGAUCAAUAUUUUGUGUAUAUAAGAUUGUAACAUAUAGUCAAUCAACUGAAUCUUUUAAUCAUCGUAGUAUUUCUUUCGGCUCUUGUAGGAUUUGAACCCUUAAACUUUGGCGUUCCAUGCCGAUGCUCUACCACUGAGCCAUAAUUCACGUUAGUAAGUUUUCUAUAUUUUCGUGUUAAUUGAGUUCAACAAAUGUGGACUUAGAAUAAUAUUUGCAGCGAGAUUCAAGAUAACUUCUUAUUAACAUGUAAAUCCAUCUUAUAGAAACGCAAUGACAUUCACAUUAAAUUUAUUAACCUUCUGCCGGGAGUUGAACCCGAUACCUUUAGAUCCAUUAUCCAACGUUCUACCAAACAGCUAUGAUCCUUGAAUGCAAGUUAUUCAGGAUUGGAAUUUAAUCGGCGAUAAUUCAAGGACACUCCGGAAUUCUCAGUACAAAAACUGCACAUCAGUGGCCAUCUCAGCAAUGUUGAGAGUCCAAUCCUUAAAA
Molecule: long non-coding RNA, 6222 nt
Organism: Daphnia magna
Lineage: Eukaryota; Metazoa; Arthropoda; Branchiopoda; Diplostraca; Daphniidae
Exons: 19
Source: RefSeq, a predicted model, not a curated record